This is a small nuclear RNA of 140 nucleotides. Its record names the gene U4. It matches the Rfam family "U4 spliceosomal RNA". From Rfam's summary of the family: U4 small nuclear RNA (U4 snRNA) is a component of the major U2-dependent spliceosome. The record is from Ensembl.
AGCUUUGCGGAGUGGCAGUAUCGUAGCCAAUGAGGUUUACUGAGGUGUGAUUAUUGCUAAUUGAAAGCUUUUCCCAAUGCCCCACCAUGAUGACUUGAAAUAUAGUACACACUGGCAAUUUUUGAUAGUCUCUAGGGAGA